CGGAUGUAACCAAGUGGAUCAAGGCAGU
RNAcentral lists this transfer RNA (28 nucleotides) under Tabebuia karsoana. RNAcentral's name for it is "partial tRNA-His". The record is from RNAcentral. Lineage: Eukaryota; Viridiplantae; Streptophyta; Magnoliopsida; Lamiales; Bignoniaceae.